Molecule: non-coding RNA, 2775 nt
Organism: Musa acuminata subsp. malaccensis (wild Malaysian banana)
Lineage: Eukaryota; Viridiplantae; Streptophyta; Magnoliopsida; Zingiberales; Musaceae
Source: RefSeq, a predicted model, not a curated record
GGCUGAUGCACAAUCAGAGAUGAGAGCAGCAAAUGGUCUUUUCUAUCAGCAAGCAUGUAGUAAUUAUGGAACUUUGGUUCCCAAGGAACCAAUGCCGGUGUUUCAAGAUGAAUCGGUACCUGCUCAUUUCUAGCAGUAAAUAUGUAACUCUUAGGAUGUUUGGUUCUAAAAGGAAGUUUGUCGCCAUAUUGUAUAAAAGCUAUUAUACUUUUCUGGAGAACUAUGAGCUUUGUUUGAUCAACCAUUGUCUCAGACAAGCUUUCACCAAAGAACUAUAUAAUGUCCCCAAAAUUAUUUUUGUCAAACAAUAUGUAAGAAGUGUCUCUUCCUAGGCAGGACCAGCUAUUGCCAGGUAAAUUGACAUGGAUUGAAUAGGCUUGUUAAGUUACAUGCCAUGAAUGCCCAAUAACUAUACCAACAUGCUUUUUUCUUUCUGUUACUUAAUGAGCAUUCAUCCUAUUUGCCUAUUUAUCUAAAGCUGAAAGGACUCUCUGUUUGUCUAGAAGUCCAUGCUGUUUCCUGGAAUGGCAUGGGGUUAUGCUUUUCUUUUGUAACCUAAAAACUGGAGGGAUUUAUAAUUUGCUCUAUAUAUUAUUUUGUAUGAAGAAAUAACUGAUCCUUCCUCCAUGUCAGAUUACCAGAUUUACUAUGCCUUGUGUUGCAGGGCCAGAGCACUCUAGUGAAGGGAAAGGAAACCUUAGAGUAACUUUUGUUUGAUCAAAGCUUAAGUUCAAUUUAUAUUCUAUAUGACAGUUCAGCAUUAACCAUGUGUCUUAAUAUGCAGAUGCUCUAGAGUCUGGACCUCCUCAGACAAUACUUCCAAGAGACCUAACGGCAAAGAGUUGCCCGAGGAACUCCAUGUUAAGAGGCAGCAUUUCAUGUUAUAAAUGACACUAUCAUGGAUUACAAAAGAAUCAGAAGUUCAGCAAAGGAAACUAUGUACGAUGUCGUUAUACAUAGGUGUUCCACAUGGCUGGUUCCUAAGAUUAUAAAUAUACUGACAGGAGAAGCUACUGCUUAACCAGGUAAGGAAACCAAGGAAGUGUCAGUUUCAGGACCUGUUUUACAACAGAAAAUCUUCAAACUUAUACUUUUUACCUAUUAUUAGUCCUCUCUCGCAUGGCUUAUUGACCCUUGGGAUUCCAUAUCACAUAAUACAUCAAACUAUGCCUAUGUUUUCAAUGGCAGAGAUAGUUGAGGUGACAUAACAUCUUGAUGAUAAAGGGGUUUGAACAUAACCUUGGCAUGCAUGUUACUGCAUUGUUAUAUGCAUUUGUCGAAGGUGAAUGAACUUAAUGUACAUGGCAAGGAGGUUGGACCUCACUCUGUCAUCCAUAUAAUCUAAUUCUAGUGCCGUUGUUUAGGGAUAGAGAUGUUUGAGAUAUAUCUCCGUGCUAAAGAUCUGAGUACUUUGCAUAAUUAGAUAACAUAUAUGCAUGCUAUAUAUUUAGUUUUUAAUAAUAGAACUAUUAUUUUUCUUAAUUACAGGGAUAUGAGUUAAAUGUCCAGCAUAAGAAUACUAAUAUGGGGCAUUCCUGUGGGAUAUUAAGCUUUUAUCAUGGCAGUCUUAGUGUCAACAAAACCUGAACAAAAUCUGACCUUGUUUUAUGAUAAGAAUGCCAAAAUUAAUCCAUUUAGCUAUGGGGUCAGCUUUGCAUCUUGAACUUGUAUGCAUUAUCUUAUAGUAUUCGGGUUUGAAUCUGAAAAUAUGUAUCCAUGAUUGAAGUCUAAUAAUUAGAUCCAACAAGAUAUUAUUGCUUAUCAUGUUAUCAAACACAUUAUUGCUAUAGUUGUUGAUUGGUGUAUCAUUUGAGUCAAAACAUGGAUGUUGGUUGAGCCCAAGGUUUGAUCAUGUGACACUGUUUACAAUCAUGUUUAGUUAAUUUAAUUUAGGUAUGUGUACUAUUAGUCUUUUAUACUGAUUGGAAAAUUUUUGGCUCAAAAUUUAUGUUCUUGUUGCCAGGCCAUUGAGUUGCUAUAUUACUGCUGAAUACAUUGGAAAAAAAAAGUUUACAUGGUAAUAAAUUGUGUUGUCUGUGCUCUCCUUGAUUGUGUAUGGUUAUCAGUAGCUAAAUCCAUUAUAUUUUUGUAGUAACUUCAUAUGAACUACUAGCUUCCCCUAACCUCAAUCUUGAAACAUGCUACUUGGUUGCAAGCUCUGGCUUAUGAUAAACUUUGAAAAUGAUUUAACAGCUAAUUUCUAGGCAGAUUACUUUUUAUAUUGCCAACUCUGACUUAUCGAAGUUUGAAAUUGAUGUAACAGCUAACUUCUAGGAGAUGAGCAUUAUAUUUCACCUGCAUUUACAGGCACGGAGUGAAUCCAUUUUCUAAUGCCUCAUCAUUGAUCAGCUGCCAGCUGCACUCGAAGCCAGGGGGAGGUUGGAAAAGAAAAACGCAAGUGGAUCCUUCUAGAGAAACAAAUGAGCAAUAGUUUGAUUGGAUUGACCUGGCUGAGUUGUAUGGAUUAGAAUAUUGGACUGCCAAUUAAUGGUUGCAACUGCAGUUCUAGCAUCAACAUCAUAAGAUAAAGAAAUGGAGUGGACUAAAAGAAAGGCCCACAUGUCACAUUUUCCAAAGACAGGAGUUGGGAGUCGGGUACUCAUGAGAAGAACAAUUCAUAUGGAUUGCUGAAUCUUCUGUUUCUCCUGAGCCACAUGAUCAUUAAAGAACAGGAAAUCUUUUCUUUCUUCUUCUUCUUCUUCUUCUUUGUCCUUUAUCUGUUAAAAGUCUUGUAGAUCCAAUUGUUGUGGUUGUGACAGAGAAAAAAGAAAAAAA